GGCCCAAUAGUAUAGUCGUAUUAUACUCCCUUCGGGAAAAUUUGAACCCUCAGGGGAGCCCUGAGUCUGGGAGAGGUCCCGGGUUCAAUUCCCGGUUGGGCCC
Molecule: non-coding RNA, 103 nt
Organism: Malassezia sp. CBS 17886
Lineage: Eukaryota; Fungi; Basidiomycota; Malasseziomycetes; Malasseziales; Malasseziaceae
Source: the annotation of a GenBank genome assembly